AGUGAAGUUAGUGACCUGUAACCACUCCUGUGUGUGCAUCAUCGUCCUAUCUUGUAUAGGAGCUCUAGCUAGCUGCAACUAGUUAGCGUUGUAGGAUUAAGUGUGAGCAUGGUGCUCAUACUUAAGAUUACCUUUGAUUACCGCUGGCUUGAACGGAAAGUAGGAGCACACUCCCUAGUAGGUGACAGAUCGUGGGCGGCAUUAGGUUCUCCUCACGUACAGGCUAGUUCUUAAAAGGUAAGGCGUCCAUAAGCGCAAUAGUCGCUUUCGGU
RNAcentral lists this long non-coding RNA (272 nucleotides) under Sorghum bicolor (sorghum). Its description in RNAcentral is "long non-coding RNA (SBIC_LNC005042)". Lineage: Eukaryota; Viridiplantae; Streptophyta; Magnoliopsida; Poales; Poaceae. The record is from RNAcentral.